Molecule: long non-coding RNA, 350 nt
Organism: Physeter macrocephalus (sperm whale)
Lineage: Eukaryota; Metazoa; Chordata; Mammalia; Artiodactyla; Physeteridae
Exons: 3
Source: RefSeq, a predicted model, not a curated record
GUAAGAGCUGACAGCGUUCAGUGAGUUCCAACACAGAGCUGGUGGGACAUGGAGUCGUCCUGCUGGCCUUUCUCUGUUCUCUACUCUGUGUGCCUGGUGUCCCCUUCUUGGGAACCCCCUGACCCCUAUCUGUCUCUCCAGGAUGAAGCAGACUUUACCUGAAGAUCCCGCACCGUUGUCUCGUGAGUGUGGACAUCGCCUUCAAGGACUGAGUAUCGGUCAAGCUUUUCUUGCUCUUGCUCCAGCCAAGCUUCAAACGCCUUCAGGUCCUGGAAUUCUAACUGGGUGACAUAGUGCUCUGUCAUGCCAGCUCCUUUGACUUCAAUGGUCUCCAGCAAGCUGCUGUGGCU